RNAcentral lists this long non-coding RNA (223 nucleotides) under Homo sapiens (human). Its description in RNAcentral is "non-protein coding lnc-GGTLC2-14:1". Lineage: Eukaryota; Metazoa; Chordata; Mammalia; Primates; Hominidae. The record is from RNAcentral.
UAUGAGCUGACACAGCCACCCGCGGUGUCAGUGUCCCCAGGACAGACAGCCAGGAUCAGCUGCUCUGGAGAUGUACUGAGGGAUAAUUAUGCUGACUGGUACCCGCAAAAGCCAGGCCAGGCCCCUGUGCUGGUGAUAUAUAAAGAUGGUGAGCGGCCCUCUGGAAUCCCUGAGCGAUUCUCUGGGUCCACCUCAGGGAACACAACCGCCCUGACCAUUAGCA